AAGAGCCACAAACAUUGAAGCAUGUGUUUGAAUAGGAAAGCACAGAAAAAAGACAACAGUUGAGAGUCAGAGAAACUAUGCAGACAGAAAAGAACAGAAACAUUUUAUCAGGAAAAAAUUACAGCUUAACAGUAAAAUGACUUUAAAUGGAAGGCAGGAGGGUAAGAUGAGUAUAUACUGAAGGUCAAAAAAGCUCCAAAAUACUUUAUAAAAAUAUGCUUUAGACCAAUUAUAUUUUAAAUACCUAAUUCAUCAGGAAGCUUAUAUAAAUAAGAAGCUUAAGGAAAAACAUUUACUUACUAUAAUAUAAAUUUUGAAUUCAAAGUUUUUAAGGGAAAAGACCUUAAAGGAAUAGAAUUUCUGAACAUCUUGCUGGCAAGAUUUUUGGGCCACUCAUUUAAGUGACAGAAUGAAAUUACAAGGGACAUAAAAACAUAAAAUUUCAUUUUUAAGUGCAGAAAUUUCUGACAAGAUGUCUUGUAAGAAAUGUUGACCAGCAAAUCCAACUUAAAAUGUAAGAAAAAACAUAUCAUUAAAAUCUUCAUAAUACUAUAUAUCUUUACAUUCCUGUUUGAUUGACUAAAGAUUCUAUUUUUUAAGUCUGCAAAUUGAUUACUGUUAAAAGGGGUUACUUUGUCCAAACUAGAUACUCAUACACCACCAAAAUGGACAUUGUUUGCUUAAAGAAAGGUAUUACAUUUUAGCACUGGCUGACAAAACUGAUUCAGGAAAAAUUCAGUCCAAUCUUUAAAAAAGAUGUUUUUUAUUUUCCCCCAAUACCUUAUUGUAUUCAAUCCAGGCCAUUCCCAAGAAAACAGCCAUGUUUAUUAAUUUCCUCAUCAGUUUUUCUCCUUUGCUCAUUACUGAAGUAUGGCUAGUACUUAGUAUAUUAUAAACUGGUCUGGCAGGGUCACAAAUUCAUCAUGUCUUCAGGAAUCAGGAUGUUAACAUGUGUAAGUAAAUAGAGGUCCACAUAAGCCAAUAGAGAGUGUUAGGGUCAUUGUACAAGGACAUACAACAAAAAACCAAACAAACCCUUCUUUGCUUUGGUACCUAGUUCUUACUAUUUUCUGCUUCCACACUGUUAAGCAAUGACAUCAUUCAUUACAUGUAGUGAUUUUCAAGGUGCAGAAGUGGGAUGUGCAGGAAAGAGGAGAUCUGGCACACUCUCCCUUCCUUCCAUGCUUUGUAAUACAUACUUCUU
This 1204-nucleotide long non-coding RNA is filed under the name Homo sapiens (human). RNAcentral's name for it is "HSALNT0329486". Lineage: Eukaryota; Metazoa; Chordata; Mammalia; Primates; Hominidae. The record is from RNAcentral.